Molecule: ribosomal RNA, 449 nt
Filed under: uncultured bacterium
Lineage: Bacteria
Description: partial 16S ribosomal RNA
Rfam family: Bacterial small subunit ribosomal RNA
Source: RNAcentral
AGCGAACGCUGGCGGCAGGCCUAAUACAUGCAAGUCGAACGGCCCUUCGGGGUUAGUGGCGGACGGGUGAGUACCACGUGGGAACUUGCCUUUAGGUUCGGAAUAACUCAGGGAAACUUGUGCUAAUACCGAAUGUGCCUUUCGGGGGACAGAUUUAUCGCCUUUAGAGCGGCCCGCGUCUGAUUAGCUAGUGGGUUAAGGUAAUGGCUGACCAAGGCGACGAUCAGUAGCUGGUCUGAGAGGAUGAGCAGCCACAUUGGGACUGAGACACGGCCCAAACUUCUACGGGAGGAAGCAGUGGGGAAUCUUGCGGAAUGGGCCAAAGCCUGACGCAGCCAUGCCGCGUGAAUGAUGAAGGUCUUAGGAUUGUAAAAUUCUUUCACCGGGGACGAUAAGGACGGUAACCGGGGAAGAAGCCCCGGCUACCUUCGUGCCAGCCGCCGCCGUAA